Molecule: ribosomal RNA, 263 nt
Filed under: uncultured bacterium
Lineage: Bacteria
Description: partial 16S ribosomal RNA
Rfam family: Bacterial small subunit ribosomal RNA
Source: RNAcentral
CAUGAGUGGCGGACGGGUGAGUAACGCGUGGGCAACCUGCCCUGUACAGGGGGACAACACUUAGAAAUAGGUGCUAAUACCGCAUAACGGGGGGAGCCGCAUGGCACCCCCCUGAAAACUCCGGUGGUACAGGAUGGGCCCGCGUCUGAUUAGCUGGUUGGCAGGGUAACGGCCUACCAAGGCGACGAUCAGUAGCCGGCCUGAGGGGGCGGACGGCCACACUGGGACUGAGACACGGCCCAGACUCCUACGGAAGGCAGCAG